GGAUGAGUCAUCAGAAAGUCGAAGGAGAAAAUCCAAGAAGAAAUGAGUUUCAAUGUUUGAUCAUCUAAUCGAAUGGACCCUACCCAAACUCCCCAGUUCUUUGUCUCUAUUCUCCAUAUGCUGCAUUUUUUAAAUGAGUAUUUUAACGUUUAAUAGUUAAUAGAAUAAUCGCCGUCCUUCGGUUGCUUGCGCUAGUGCCAAAGCCUUCUUGCAAUUUCCAAAAGCGAACAGCCAUGAGCCACCAAAAAGGCCACAAACAGAGAGAGACAUUUUGGAGGGGGUGAAAAGGGAAGCUUUGUGUCUAAACAAUUUGAUAAUUUCUGGGUUGGCUUUAGUUUUGACUGGAUUGGAUUCAGAUUGGUUUAGUUUUUGUUGGUUGGUUUUAAGGAAUUGGAUUGAUGGUUGAUUAUAUUCCAAAUCCUACCUUGACUUUUUGUAAGGAUGCAGCUGGAAUCGCCGGGAACAUCUUUGCUUUUGGACUGUUUGUGUCACCCAUACCCAUAUUCAGGAGAAUUAUCAGAAACAGAUCAACGGAGCAAUUCUCAGGGUUGCCAUAUAUAUACGCACUCUUGAACUGUUUGAUUUGCGUUUGGUAUGGCACACCCCUCAUAUCCAUUGAUAAUGUAAUGGUUAUGACAGUCAAUUCAAUUGGUGCAGUUUUUCAGUUGGCUUACAUAAUCCUCUUUAUAGUAUAUGCUGAGAAAGCCAUGAAGCUAAGGGUGUUCGGAUUGCUGUUGGCAGUUUUUGUCCUAUAUGCAAUCAUAGUUGCAGGGAGCUUGCAAAUUACUGAUCGAAACAUACGGUGGAUCUCUGUUGGGUUAUUGAGUUGUAUAUCUCUCAUAUCAAUGUUUGCUUCCCCAUUGUUUAUAAUUAAUUUGGUGAUCCGAACAAAGAGUGUUGAGUUUAUGCCAUUCUAUCUCUCUCUUUCCACUUUCUUGAUGAGCACCUCAUUCUUGCUGUAUGGGAUCUUGAAUUUUGAUGCCUUUGUAUAUGUAAGCUUCCUUUAGCACAUUUACUUGCAACCCCUUUCUUACUUUUGUCAAUCUUUUAACCUGUUGAUGUGCAAUUAAGGUGACCCUUAUUAUAUAACUUGAUUAGUCAAAUGCAUUCAGAAACCUCUGUAUUAUACUCAAAUGUUCAAUUGAACCUUUUAUUUUAUUCAAUUCAAUGCAGUUCUACUGUUAGAAGCAAAUCGGCCCAAUUUGUAAACAGUGUCUAAAUGUUUGUACUAGUUUAAAAAUAUAUUAUUGUGGAGUACUGGAGUCCAAAUUCUGUUCAUCUUAUUCACCUGUGGACAGGCUUUUACUAUACAGUUUGAUUACAAUUGAAUAUAGACCAUGCAAAUCUCUGCUUUUGUUUGUAUCUUGAUUUGCCAAAACCAAAUUAGUGAAAUUCCAUUUUCAAUCUUGAUUUACUGAUAUCAUCUCUGUCGCAAGACAAAGAAACAGUAGUUGCAAAAUAAAAAUCCUUCUUGCUAUUGUUGAAGUAUUGUUGAAGAUGACGG
RNAcentral lists this unclassified non-coding RNA (1504 nucleotides) under Hevea brasiliensis (rubber tree). The record is from RNAcentral. Lineage: Eukaryota; Viridiplantae; Streptophyta; Magnoliopsida; Malpighiales; Euphorbiaceae.